RNAcentral lists this ribosomal RNA (497 nucleotides) under uncultured bacterium. RNAcentral describes it as "partial 16S ribosomal RNA". It matches the Rfam family "Bacterial small subunit ribosomal RNA", at positions 28 to 507 of the family's 1533-position model. The record is from RNAcentral.
GAUGAACGCUGGCGGCGUGCCUAAUACAUGCAAGUCGAGCGAACAGACGAGGAGCUUGCUCCUUUGACGUUAGCGGCGGACGGGUGAGUAACACGUAGGUAACCUACCUAUAAGACUGGGAUAACUUCGGGAAACCGGAGCUAAUACCGGAUAAUAUUUCGAACCGCAUGGUUCGAUAGUGAAAGAUGGCUUUGCUAUCACUUAUAGAUGGACCUGCGCCGUAUUAGCUAGUUGGUAAGGUAACGGCUUACCAAGGCAACGAUACGUAGCCGACCUGAGAGGGUGAGCGCCACCACUGGAACGGCGCCCGGUCCGAGACUCCGCGGGGGGGCAGAAGGAGGUAUUUUUCCGAAAGGGGCGAAAGCCUGAGGGAGCACCGCGGGGGGAGUGAGGAAGUUUUCGGGAUCUUAAAACUCUUUUAUGGGGAAAAAACAAAGUUGAAAGUACCUGGGCCCGUCUUGACGUUCCCUAAUAAGAAACCCACGCCUAACCCCGGG